UGACCCCGUGCGGGAGAGUCCUCCGGAGCGAAUCCGAAGGCGCCGAAGGAGCAAAUCCUCCCCGGAAUCUCUCAGGCCCCCGUACCGCACGGACGAG
Streptomyces sp. Ncost-T10-10d is the source of this 97-nucleotide regulatory RNA element. It matches the Rfam family "Glycine riboswitch aptamer". Rfam says of the family: This family represents the bacterial glycine riboswitch. NCBI's taxonomy places the organism in Bacteria, Bacillati, Actinomycetota, Actinomycetes, Kitasatosporales, Streptomycetaceae. The record is from Rfam.